Long non-coding RNA from Thalassophryne amazonica, 98 nucleotides. RefSeq lists it as uncharacterized. Lineage: Eukaryota; Metazoa; Chordata; Actinopteri; Batrachoidiformes; Batrachoididae. The transcript has 3 exons. The record is from RefSeq and is a predicted model, not a curated record.
UUUUCAUUGCAUUUUGAGGGCCAUAAGGACUGUGUUAGUGUGUUUGAUUCAUAUCAACAGUUCUAUCUUGAGAGAUCACCUCAAAAUAAGACUUUCAA